GCCUCCAUAGUGUAGUGGUUAGCACGUCUGCUUUGCACACAGAAGGUCCUGGGUUCGCGCCCCACGUGGAGACA
This 74-nucleotide transfer RNA is filed under the name Pteropus alecto (black flying fox). It matches the Rfam family "tRNA". From Rfam's summary of the family: Transfer RNA (tRNA) molecules are approximately 80 nucleotides in length. Their secondary structure includes four short double-helical elements and three loops (D, anti-codon, and T loops). Further hydrogen bonds mediate the characteristic L-shaped molecular structure. tRNAs have two regions of fundamental functional importance: the anti-codon, which is responsible for specific mRNA codon recognition, and the 3' end, to which the tRNAs corresponding amino acid is attached (by aminoacyl-tRNA synthetases). tRNAs cope with the degeneracy of the genetic code in two manners: having more than one tRNA (with a specific anti-codon) for a particular amino acid; and 'wobble' base-pairing, i.e. permitting non-standard base-pairing at the 3rd anti-codon position. Lineage: Eukaryota; Metazoa; Chordata; Mammalia; Chiroptera; Pteropodidae. The record is from Rfam by way of RNAcentral.